RNA transcript from Andrographis paniculata, 960 nucleotides. RefSeq lists it as uncharacterized. Lineage: Eukaryota; Viridiplantae; Streptophyta; Magnoliopsida; Lamiales; Acanthaceae. The transcript has 5 exons. The record is from RefSeq and is a predicted model, not a curated record.
AAGAAAAAAAGAACAGGAGAAAUCAAGGGAAAAUGGAGGAGGACAGAGCCAAAGAAAAGGGGAAAGGGGGCGACAGAUGGCCGGCAGCGAUCGCCAAUCUCACCGAGAUGUCGUCAAAUCUCGAUUCUUUACAGAAGCUACUGAUAAAGAAAGCUGUUUAUGUUGACGACGAUACAUUCGCCAAGGCCUCCCUCAGCUCCGAACAAGCUCGGGCAAUCAAGGUUCUUGAGCAAAGGGUGGAGACUUUAGAAAAAGAACUGGAUAAUGCGAUUUCAGCUGCUGCCCGUGCACGUACCGAAAAACGCCAUGCUGAAGCAGCACAGAAAGCAGCAGAACUACGUGCUCUAGAAAUUACAAAAGAACUAGAGAACACUUCAAAAGUAUUUCAACUGCACAUGGAAGAGUUACGUGCAAAGCAAGAUGAGAUCUUUAAGAAAGAUGAAGAGAUAAAACUUCUGGAAGCUAUAAUUCAGACACUUGGUGGAAGAGAAUCACUUUCUGCUAAAGCCUAAAUCCUGAAUUGGGAGACAUAGUUCAUAACUUGGAUCCUUGGCUGUUGUCGGCUGUUGAGAUCUUGUAACACAGGCAAAUGCGCAGGUCCUCUCGAUGCGCGCGGUGAUGUUGCUUGGGCUAAUAUAGACAAGAAGGGGGCUAAUAUAGACAAGAAGGUGUUGACUGCAAUACAAUUAAUAUUGUCGAAAGAAGUUCUACGUAAAGUUGCUCAUGAGACUACCUACAAGAGUUGUGGUUGAAGCUGUAGAUGCAGUAAAUGACAAAGUCUCUUGCAAACAAACUUGUUUGAAUGAAUACUUUUAUACAAUUUGAAUGCCUGAAGGUACUCCCAUUCAAUCCCACCUACAUGAAUUUAAUUCAAUCAUUAUGAAUUUAGAAAUUUUGGAUGUUACAAUUGAUGAUGAAGAUAAAAUCGUGUUGUUGAUUGUCUGUUAUCUCAUUUACAAA